RNAcentral lists this long non-coding RNA (489 nucleotides) under Brassica rapa (field mustard). RNAcentral describes it as "long non-coding RNA (BRAP_LNC005230)". The record is from RNAcentral. Lineage: Eukaryota; Viridiplantae; Streptophyta; Magnoliopsida; Brassicales; Brassicaceae.
AUUAAUAUAACGAACAGUGAAGUCAGACGAGUGUGAGAGAAGGUGAUGAUGCUCAGAAAUUGAUAAAAGACUACAGCUGUUCUCACUCUGUCUCUUUGCUACUCGUUACCCAAAUCCAAACCGCGUUGUCUAUCGUCACACUCACAUCUUUCAAAAACAUUGUUUGAAUUAUGAAAAAUUUACUCUAAGAGACACAAUUCAAGUUUCCAAUUACGCUAAAAGACACAUUGGAUAUUGAAAGCACUUUCUCAAGUUAAAUUGACCAAUAAACCUUUUAACUAGUAUGUAAGUGAGCUUGGUUACAUCUCCUAACCAGAAAUAACUGAUUAUAAACUGAACCAUCCAAUAAUUCAUUUUUCUUUCUUUUUUAAAAAAAAUUCAAGUCUUCUUCUGGAAACCAACGAGACCAAUUCCUUUUUUUUUUUUUUUUAAAUUCAAUUCUUUUGCUCUAGAUCUAGAAAUUGUAAAAAUGGAAUGUGCUAAAUCUUC